GGGGAACUUGAGUGCAGAAGAGAAAAGCGGAAUUCCACGUGUAGCAGUGAAAUGCGUAGAGAUGGGGAGCACCACCGGUGGAGAAGGCGGCUUUUUGGUCUGUAACUGACGCUGAGGCGCGAAAGCGUGGGGAGCAAACAGGAUUAGAGACCCUCGUAGUACUCCCCGCAAACGAUGAGUGCUAAGUGUUAGAGGGUUUCCGCCCUUUAGUGCUGCAGCUAACGCAUUAAGCACUCCGCCUGGGGAGUACGGUCGCAAGACUGAAACUCAAAGGAAUUGACGGGGGCCCCCACAAGCGGCGGAGCAUGUGGUUUAAUUCGAAGCAAGGCGAAGAACCUUACCAGGUCUUGACAUCCUCUGACAACUCUAGAGAUAGAGCGUUCCCCUUCGGGGGACAGAGUGACAGGUGGUGCAUGGUUGUUGUCAACUCGUGUUGUGAGAUGUUGGGUUAAGUCCCGCAACGAGGCCCACCCUUUAUUUUAGUUGCCCACCUUUAAUUGGGCCAUUUAAGGUGACUGCCGGGGACCAACCGGAGGAAGGUGGGGAAGGCGUCAAAUCAUCAUGCCCCUUAUGGCCUGGGCUACCCCCGUGCUACAAUGGAUGGUACAAAGGAGUGCAAAAGCGGGAGGGCAAACCAAUUCCAUAAAACCUUUUUCAGUUCGGAUUGUAGGCUGCAACUUGCCUACAAGAAGCCGGAAUCGCUAGUAAUCGCGGAUCAGCCAGCCGCGGUGAAUACGUUCCCGGGCCUUGUACACACCGCCCGUCACACCACGAGAGUUUGUAACCCCCGAAGUCGGUGGAGUAACCUUAAGGAGCUAGCCGCCUAAG
Molecule: ribosomal RNA, 828 nt
Filed under: Priestia megaterium
Lineage: Bacteria; Bacillati; Bacillota; Bacilli; Caryophanales; Bacillaceae
Description: bacterial SSU rRNA
Rfam family: Bacterial small subunit ribosomal RNA
Source: RNAcentral